AUCCAGAUGACGAGUCCGAAAUAGGACAUAAUGCGCAUCUUGAAU
This 45-nucleotide non-coding RNA is filed under the name Trichobilharzia regenti. Lineage: Eukaryota; Metazoa; Platyhelminthes; Trematoda; Strigeidida; Schistosomatidae. The record is from RNAcentral.